Molecule: long non-coding RNA, 1057 nt
Organism: Mus musculus (house mouse)
Lineage: Eukaryota; Metazoa; Chordata; Mammalia; Rodentia; Muridae
Product: predicted gene, 39850
Exons: 4
Source: RefSeq, a predicted model, not a curated record
UUGUCUAAAGCAAAUAGGUACAAUUGCUUUUUAAGUAGUCUUAACUGGCCUGAGAGGGAAAAGGCCUUCCCUAAAUUAGAGCAGUCCCUUUGUCAAGGUUGCUGAUAAAAAUCAAGAACCAUGAGGCAGCCAUGUCUAUGAAGAUUCCCCUGGUGACAUGCCAAACCUAUUGAGAACAGCAGCAACUUCUCCAUUUUUGGAGCCCCACUGAAGGAUCAGCACCAGACAUACAGAAAGGAAUGCCUCACAGGUCGAACUGACUCUCCGAAAAGACAGAGACUACUUCCGCUACUGUCCAGUGUGAAGAUGCCCUCAAGUGACUUUUAAAGACUGCUCCAGGAGCAGGGUGUGGUGAUACACACUCAUAAUCUCAGCUGCAGGGGUUGGAAAGAAGGGGGCGGAGAGUUCAAGGAUAAUCAAGUCUUCAGAGAGAGAGAGCAACUGUAUUGAAAACAAACUCAAGAGCAAUUGGAACUCCAAAUAUCUUCACUCCCAGAGAGAUCCUGCCUUCCUGAAAUGUACCUCAUGCCCUGCCCGUGGUCCCAGGACUGGUGUCAUCUGCCGAGGCUGGAAGAGGGAAUCAGAUCUCCAGGAACUGGAAGUACAAGGAUCCCCAAUGCCUCAUAGUGUUGGUGGAGUCCCUUAUGUUCUCUCAUCAGCCUACUUGGGAUGAUUGUCAGCAGAUGUUGCAGACUUUCUUCACAACCAAAAAGCAAGAGAGAAUUCUGUUAGAGGCUAGAAAAAAUAUCCCGGGAGCCAAUGGGCAGCCUACACAGCUACAAAAUGAGAUCAACAUGGGAUCCCCUUUGACUCCGUCCGGUUGGGACUACAACAUGGCUCAAGCAUUAUCCAACAGCCCCCUGACCGAUGGAUGACCAACGCUCGUAUGACACAUUAUCAGAGCCUGUGGUUGACUGAACGAGUGACCUUCGCUCCCCCUGCUGUCCUCAAUUCUGCUACCCUACUGCCCGAGACUGAUGACUCUUCACCUACUCAUCACUGCGCUGACAUUCUGGCAGAUCUGAAGGAUCAGCCUUGGCCUGGGAGUUCCAGCUGC